This 74-nucleotide transfer RNA is filed under the name Erysipelotrichaceae bacterium. Its description in RNAcentral is "tRNA-Gly". It matches the Rfam family "tRNA". From Rfam's summary of the family: Transfer RNA (tRNA) molecules are approximately 80 nucleotides in length. Their secondary structure includes four short double-helical elements and three loops (D, anti-codon, and T loops). Further hydrogen bonds mediate the characteristic L-shaped molecular structure. tRNAs have two regions of fundamental functional importance: the anti-codon, which is responsible for specific mRNA codon recognition, and the 3' end, to which the tRNAs corresponding amino acid is attached (by aminoacyl-tRNA synthetases). tRNAs cope with the degeneracy of the genetic code in two manners: having more than one tRNA (with a specific anti-codon) for a particular amino acid; and 'wobble' base-pairing, i.e. permitting non-standard base-pairing at the 3rd anti-codon position. Lineage: Bacteria; Bacillati; Bacillota; Erysipelotrichia; Erysipelotrichales; Erysipelotrichaceae. The record is from RNAcentral.
GCGGGCAUAGUUCAAUGGCAGAACACGACCUUCCCAAGGUUGUGAUGCGGGUUCGAUUCCCGUUGCCCGCUCCA